GAGUAUAGCUGGUCAGUGGUGUGGGUGAGGCGUGGUGUGCGAUCGUUGGCCGUGAGGUGUGUGGGUAAAGCGCCGGUAGGCGGUUGGUCGCGUCUGCAGUGGAAUUCCGCGGCGCAACCCCGGACUGGCAGUGGGUACGGGCGUACGAGAGUGUGGUAGAGGAGACCGGGAGUCCUGGUUUAGCGGUGGAAUGCGCAGAUAACAGGAGGAACACCGAUGGCGAAGGCAGGUCUCUGGGCCACAACUGACGCGGAGAAGCGAAAGCAUGGGGAGCGAACAGGAUUAGAUACCCCGGUAGUC
RNAcentral lists this ribosomal RNA (300 nucleotides) under uncultured Geoglobus sp. Its description in RNAcentral is "bacterial SSU rRNA". The stretch from base 60 to 300 matches the Rfam family "Bacterial small subunit ribosomal RNA", at positions 555 to 795 of the family's 1533-position model. Lineage: Archaea; Methanobacteriati; Methanobacteriota; Archaeoglobi; Archaeoglobales; Archaeoglobaceae. The record is from RNAcentral.